Molecule: transfer RNA, 75 nt
Filed under: Candidatus Azosocius agrarius
Lineage: Bacteria; Pseudomonadati; Pseudomonadota; Gammaproteobacteria; Candidatus Azoamicaceae
Description: tRNA-Arg
Rfam family: tRNA
About the family: Transfer RNA (tRNA) molecules are approximately 80 nucleotides in length. Their secondary structure includes four short double-helical elements and three loops (D, anti-codon, and T loops).
Source: RNAcentral
GCGCCCGUAGCUCAGUUGGAUUAGAGCACCUGGCUACGAACCAGGAGGUCGGAGGUUCAAUUCCUUUCGGGCGUG